GAUGAACGCUGGCGGCGUGCCUAAUACAUGCAAGUCGAGCGAACGGACGAGACGCUUGCUUCUCUGAUGUUAGCGGCGGACGUGUGAGUAACACGUGGAUCACCUACCUAUAAGACUGGGAUAACUUCGGGAAACCGGAUCUAAUACCGGAUAAUAUUUUGAACCGCAUGGUUCAAAAGUAAAAGACGGUCUUGCUGUCACUUCUAGAUGCAUCCGCGCUGCAUUAGCUAGUUGGUAAGGUAACGGCCUACCAAGGCAACGAUGCAUAGACGACGUGAGAGAGGGAUCGGCGACACUAGAGGUGGGACGCGGACCAGACUACUACGGGACGGAGCAGUAGGGAAUGGUCCGCAAUGGGCGAAAGCCUGACGGAGCAAGGCCGCGUGAGAGAUGGAGGUCUUCGGAGCGGAAAACUCUGUUACUAGGGAAGAACAGAUGUGUAAGUAAAUGAGCAGAGCUUGACGGUAACUAAUCAGAAAGCCACGGCUAACUACGUG
Molecule: ribosomal RNA, 497 nt
Filed under: uncultured bacterium
Lineage: Bacteria
Description: partial 16S ribosomal RNA
Rfam family: Bacterial small subunit ribosomal RNA
Source: RNAcentral